AUGGCUCCGCUGGGCGCUCCCUGCGUCGACCACGGGCGCCGGCCGCGGACCAUCCACAAGGUGAUCGCCUCCACCCCGGAGAUGGAGCAGCAGAUCUUCCUGCUGCAGCAGCACGUGGUGGUGGACACCGCAGUGAGCAAGCUGCACGCGGCCAGUCCCCUCUCCAUCGGCCGAGCCAUCGAGCGGGAAUUCCAGAUCACCGCGCACCUCCUCCGCUUCACCAGACACGAUCCUGAGGACUUCUUCAUCCACUUCACCAUGCCAGGCCACAAAGACCUCGUCGUUCGGCGGGGCUCGGUCGUGGUGGAUGGCGUCUCCUUCCUGCUGGAGCCAUGGAGGGAGGACGUGCACGCCAUCCACAACACCUGGAUGCUGCAUGUCCGUGUCAUCAUGGAGAAGCUGCCAAUGCAACUCUGGACCCUGAAGGGCACGAAGGACGCGCUGGGCGACGCGGUCAUCAUCGACCGCCUCGACAGCCGUACGUUCGAGCGCGCGGACACGAAGUUGUUCGCCAUCUGGGUGUGGGUGUGGCAACUGCACCACAUCCCCACCAUGCGAACCCUGUGGAAGCACGCCAGAGGUGCCGGCCGGGUGGAGGAGAUGAUCGGCUUCUCGCCUCCUAGCCGGGCCGUCGCGCCGCCGCCGAACCUGCUGCGCUGGGAUGCGCUGGUGCACAUCGACCGGGUCGAAGACUGGGUGCCCCUGUCCCCGCGCCCCUCCCACUCCGGGCAAAGCGACCUCCCGUCCUCCUCCGACGACGACCGCUCGUAUCCGCGCUACCCCUUCGCGGGGGGCUGGGUGGCCGACGUGGAGGACGGCAGGCUGUCGCAGGACCUGGGGCCGCGCUUGCGCCCGCCCGCACAAGUGGCGUCCUCGGGCUGCAAGGGCAUGCCCUCGGUGGGCCACAGGCGCAGCCACGACGGCGACGACAGUGGCGGCCAGCGGAGGUCUUGGAAGGACACGCUCCUCGGACGAAGGCGCGACAAGGAGCCGCCCCCCCCCCCCCGCUUCUGA
Molecule: ribosomal RNA, 1014 nt
Filed under: Triticum aestivum (bread wheat)
Lineage: Eukaryota; Viridiplantae; Streptophyta; Magnoliopsida; Poales; Poaceae
Description: partial small subunit ribosomal RNA
Source: RNAcentral